GUAACGAUCUCACCGGCUCACCUAGACGGGAUUAUAUCAAAACUGUCGAGAGAUCACGAGAUCAUGUUACUGGCGGCUCAACAGUUGAAAUCAUUCGCGUUCUAGACUUUGUGGUGUUCAGUUGUGUACUUCACUUUUAUCUGUUAGUAUUAUUUUAGGGGUCAGAUUAUAUUUGACAAGACAACAUGAAGGUGCUAAUUGCUUUGGCGAUCCUCGGAUACUCAUCACUGGUUAAAGCUGAUCAACCAAAAAAAGCGAUGGCAUUUCUGCAAGGUACUUCUGGUGUGUUCGGUAACGUAACUCUCUCACAGCCAUCCUGCACCGAGCCUGUGUUCAUCGAGGUCACCGUAUUCGGCCUCACACCCGGUAAGCAUGGGUUCCACAUUCACGAAAAAGGAGAUUUGAGCGACGGCUGUGCCAGCACUGGUGGUCAUUACAAUCCAGAUAAGGUAACGCACGGUGCUCCCAACGAUCAGGUGCGUCAUGUAGGCGACUUGGGUAAUAUCGUGGCUGAUGAAACUGGUCUGGCGAAAACAUCGUUUUCCGACACUGUUGUUUCGCUUUACGGUAGCCGUAGUGUCCUUGGUCGGGCCAUUGUUGUGCAUGCCGGUGUUGAUGAUUUUGGAAAAACGAAUCACCCAGACUCACUAAAAACUGGUAACGCCGGGGGACGAGUUGUGUGUGGAGUUAUCGGAGUCCUUUUCAAUUAGGACGAUCGGUGAUGUAGAUGUUUUGAAAUCGCGAAGACAAUUCUACAUAGAGAAUUCAAAUUUAAACCACUGUUCUGCACGGGUAGUAUAAGGGCAUCAGAAAUGUUAGGUGAAUUGUAAAAAAUUACAACCCGUACAGUUAUUAUUGCUUUGUGUGGCAAGUACCCGUUCGAUGAACCGGAGCAAUUAUGCAGCAGUAAUCAAUCAAUGGUUAAACCAGCCCUAAUAAGCCUAUUGCUAACAUUCUUAGCUCUACGGGCUCUUGGCAACUAAUUCUUCACUAAAAAUGGCAUCGAAAUCAGAGAGCCAGUGUCAUUUGAUUCCGGCAGUGCUACCAUUAGAAUGAAUGACAGGUAGUUCAUUGAACUGUACAUUUACAAAAUUUUCUUCUCCUUUUACUUGAGAUCUACAUGCGUCACUUUUGGAAGUGCCUGAAAAUGAAAAAUAAGUGGAUUUUCGCGUGAGCAAAGCUUUUUGGCUUUUCUUUGUAUUUAUGUACAUGUAUCAGCACGCGAACAAACCUGAUGCUUGUUACCUUAUUUAUUGAGUUUGUAUAUAUUUAUUUUAAUUUUGUUACUAGGAGUUAAAGAAAUUCUUUGUUUUCGACGAGUACAUUAAGAUUGUGGUGGCCAGUCUGGUUUCUGUCCAACACCGCAUUGUAUUUAUUGCACUACCAGCGAUAUGUGAGACGCAUGCCAUUAACCUUGAAAAUACUCAAGGCCAGUAACCAGUGCACAGCUUGAGUGAUGAGUUCGAGAUUAUUUGAGAAUCAAUAAAGAUAAUCAAAGCUUUCAAA
Molecule: RNA transcript, 1506 nt
Organism: Malaya genurostris
Lineage: Eukaryota; Metazoa; Arthropoda; Insecta; Diptera; Culicidae
Exons: 5
Source: RefSeq, a predicted model, not a curated record